Molecule: ribosomal RNA, 446 nt
Filed under: uncultured bacterium
Lineage: Bacteria
Description: partial 16S ribosomal RNA
Rfam family: Bacterial small subunit ribosomal RNA
Source: RNAcentral
CCUACGGGAGGCAGCAGUAGGGAAUUUUCGGCAAUGGGGGAAACCCUGACCGAGCAACGCCGCGUGAACGAAGAAGUUAUUCGUAAUGUAAAGUUCUUUUAACAGGGAAGAAAGAGAAAUUUGACGGUACCUGAAGAAUAAGCUCCGGCUAACUACGUGCCAGCAGCCGCGGUAAUACGUAGGGAGCGAGCGUUAUCCGGAAUUAUUGGGCGGAAAGGGUGCGUAGAUGGCAUAGUAAGUCUAUUGUAAAAAUGCUGGGCUCAACCCAGUAGGGAAAACGAUACUGCAAAGCUAGAGUAUGACAGAGGCAAGUGGAACUACAUGUGUAGCGGUCAUAUGCGUAUAUAUCUGUAAGAACCCCAGUGGCGCAGGCGGCUUGCUGGGUCGAUACUGACAUUGAGGCACGAAAGCGUGGGGAGCAAACAGGAUUAGAUACCCCAGUAGUC